RNAcentral lists this ribosomal RNA (625 nucleotides) under uncultured bacterium. RNAcentral's name for it is "bacterial SSU rRNA". It matches the Rfam family "Bacterial small subunit ribosomal RNA", at positions 55 to 682 of the family's 1533-position model. The record is from RNAcentral.
AUGCAGUCGAGGGGUAUAGUUCUUCGGAGCUAGAGACCGGCGCACGGGUGCGUAACGCGUAUGCAAUCUACCUUUCACAGAGGGAUAGCCCUGAGAAAUUUGGAUUAAUACCUCAUAGUAUUAUGAAAUGGCAUCAUUUUAUAAUUAAAGUCACAACGGUGAAAGAUGAGCAUGCGUCCCAUUAGCUAGUUGGUAAGGUAACGGCUUACCAAGGCUACGAUGGGUAGGGGUCCUGAGAGGGAGAUCCCCCACACUGGUACUGAAACACGGACCAGACUCCUACGGGAGGCAGCAGUGAGGAAUAUUGGUCAAUGGGCGCAAGCCUGAACCAGCCAUGCCGCGUGCAGGAUGACGGUCCUAUGGAUUGUAAACUGCUUUUGCACAGGAAGAAACAACAUUACGUGUAAUGUCUUGACGGUACUGUGAGAAUAAGGAUCGGCUAACUCCGUGCCAGCAGCCGCGGUAAUACGGAGGAUCCAAGCGUUAUCCGGAAUCAUUGGGUUUAAAGGGUCCGUAGGCGGUUUAGUAAGUCAGUGGUGAAAGCCCAUCGCUCAACGGUGGAACGGCCAUUGAUACUGCUAGACUUGAAUUAUUAGGAAGUAACUAGAAUAUGUAGUGUAGCGGU